Mercenaria mercenaria is the source of this 813-nucleotide long non-coding RNA. RefSeq lists it as uncharacterized. Lineage: Eukaryota; Metazoa; Mollusca; Bivalvia; Venerida; Veneridae. The record is from RefSeq and is a predicted model, not a curated record. The transcript is spliced from 4 exons.
AUAACUUGAAUUUAUUCAUGGUUCUCUUACAGCUAUAAAAUGUUCGUCUUACAUACCAAAUGGAGAGAUCACUGGGAUAUGUGACUUAACAAUAGGGGCGACAUGCAAUUUUACGUGCUACAGUGACUUUAAAGCAGCUGACCUAUUUACGAAUGUAACUUGCAACGCUAGUGGACACUGGAGCAUAACAAAUAAUCUAUGCCUUGAGCGAAUCAGUGUCACCACAGAAUCGUCGUCGUCAAAUGGAUUACCUGUGCCAGGUGUCGCUGCUGGAAUAGCGAUUUUGCUAUUAGCAGUCUUCUUGCUAAUUGUUGCUAAUAUAUUUCUGUUUCUAAGACAAAGACGCAACUUGUCACCAUCACUUAAACCACUCUUUCGCCAUAGUAGAAAUACCGCUUUUGAAAAUAAAGGUUACAGACACAAUACUGACCCCCCUGUCCAAACUACGGAUAUUGAUUUUUAUCAAAGUAUCAGCUUUUCUGACGGUGCUUCAUCCAGCGAUGAACGCAUUAUAGAUUCCAUGUACGACAAUGAGCCACUUCCUCAUGUUACACAAACAGAGAUGACGAACGACAAAGCAAGUACAUGAUUCAUGGCAGAAGAAAAAGAAAAAGCUUGAUAUGGACAAAUAUUAAAUAUGUUAUCACUGUGUUCAGUUUUCUUCUCAAAUAACUAACUCGAGGUUAUGUGUCAGGAGUCUAUGUAUGAAUGUUCCAGAACGGUAGAAGAACAAUCAGGAAGAAAACAUAUAAAAAAUUAAAUACUGUCUGUGUAUUUAUAGUUAUUCACUGCGGAUUAAAUGAUUACACAUAA